AUUGAAAUAGGGGACAAUUUUUAAAUGUUUUAAUAAAAGAAGUUUUAUAGGCAAUAGUUUUUAUGUUACUUAUUUUAGAAUUUUAUUGCAACAUUUGAAAAUUAUUGCCUAUUCCACUUUAGAGUACAGUUUUUAGUUGUUGCCAAAUAAUUGUUACUUAAAGUGAGGAUCAAUAGCAACACAUGAAAAAUAUUACUUAUUCAUUAAAAGAACGCUCCGAAAGAUGAGCUCUUUUGGAGCGCUCAUUCCAAGAGCGCUCCGAAAGAGUUGAUCUUCCGGAGCGCUCUUCAAAGAGCGCUUCAGAAGAUAGUCUUUCGGAGCACUUAAUUACGAGCGCUCCCGAAGGUCUUUUUAAAUUUUUUAUAAUAUUAUAUUUAUAUUAAUUAGGAGCGUUAUCUUAUUGAAAAGCCCUGACAUACAGGAGCGCUUUUCUAAAAAAGCGCUCCGGUAAAUUCCGCAUUUACAUUUUAGAGCACUUUUUAAAGAAGCGCUCCUAAAUACCCGCUCCUAAAGAUAUAUUCUGUAGUAGUGCAAAGUGUUGCUAGAGAUAAAAAAAAGUUGUAGUGUUAGGUGAAGAAAUUAGACUAUUUCUUAUUGGAAAGGAAAAGGAAAAACAGAAUGAACUUGUAUAUUUCUAAAACUUGUGCAUAACUUAAUUUUUAAUUUGACUAACAGUGAAUUUCUUACAAAUUGAUCAGGAUUGCAAAUGAAUAAGAGCAUAUCGUAGGGAUUGUUAGUGAAGUCUCUACUAGGAUUGAUUGUAAGCCUUUAUCUAUCACAGAUUAUCCAAUUGGACUUGUGCCCCGAGCAAAGGAUUUAAUCUCACGUUUAGAACUUGGGUCUACUAAGGAAACUAAAAUGGUAGGAAUUUGGGGUGCUGGUGGAAUAGGUAAAUCAACGGUUGCAAGAACUGUAUAUAAUUCAAUUAGUGAUCUUUUUGAAGGCGCAUGUUUUCUUUAAAAAGAUCUAAAAAUAUUAGCUUGUUACAUCUUCAAGAGACAUUACUCCAUCAAUUAGUCAUGGAGAAGGAUCUUAAAUUGGGUGAUAUUCAUGAAGGAAUACCAAUAAUAAAAUAUAGGCUUACCCGAAAGAAAAUUCUUUUGAUUCUUGAUGAUAUUGAUGAACCAAAACAAUUAAAAGCACUAGCUGGAAGUUGUGAUUGGUUUGGUUCUGGAAGUAGAAUUGUCAUCACAACAAGGAAUAAACAAUUGUUAGUAAGUCAUGGUAUUGAAAGUGAAAGUAUCUAUGAUGUUAAGGAAUUAAAUUAUGAGGAAUCUCUUCAGUUGCUAAAUUGGCAUGCCUUUAAAAAUGAAAAUCUGGAUUCUACCAGCAUGGAGGUUUGCAAUCGUGCUAUACAUUAUACUUGUGGCUUUCUAUUAGCUUUAAAAGUGAUGGGUUCUAACUUAUGUGGUAAAGGAGUUGAUCAAUGGAACAACGCAUUAGAUCAAUUUAAGGCAAUACCACAUAAAAGAGUUUUAGGAGCAGUCCAAUUAAGCUACGAUGCUUUAGGAGAAUUUGAGAAAAAAGUUUUCCUUGAUUUGGCUUGUUUCUUCAAUGGUGAGAAAUUGGAUGAUAUCAAGUGUAUGUUGCUAUGCCUUCAUGAAAUCAAACUGGAAUAUGCCAUCCAAGUGCUUAUUGAUAAAUUCCUUAUAAAUAUUGAAGGAGAUUGUGCAAUCAUGCAUGACAUAAUCAAAGAUAUGGGUAAAGAGAUUAUUCAUCAAGAAUCACAAGAUGAGCCUGGUGAACGUAGUAGGUUAUGGUUCUAUCAAGACAUUCCUCAAGUCUUACAACAUGACACAGUAAGACCAUGAACAUGCAUUUUUUUCUUUCAAAACUUGAACAUUAUUGAUGCUUAACCAAAGUUUGAAAUAUAUUAUGUGCUUUUCAUUUUGAAAGGGAACUAAUAAAGUUGAGGCCAUAGUUCUAGACUUACCUUAAGGUAAAGAAGUGCAAUGGAGUGGAGAGGAAUUUGUGAAGAUAAAGAAACUCAGAAUGCUUGUGAUAAAGAAUGCUCACUUUUCUAAAAGCCCCUCAUAUCUUCCAAAUAGUUUAAGGUGGUUGGAGUGGAAGAAAUAUCCCUUUAAACUUUUACCACAUGAUUUUUGUCCAAUAGAACUUGUUUAUCUCGACUUGUCUUAUAGUUAUGUUGAAUUGCUCUAGCCAUUUAAUAAGGUAAGUAUAGUUUAUUAGAACUACGUUUUUCUUUCCUUUUUUAUUUUUUUUAAAAAUAAAUGUUUGUUAAUGUUUUGCAAAAGUUUGAGAGUUUAAGACACAUGAAUUUUAAAAGCUGUAAAUCCUUACAAGGAAUACCAGAUUUAUCAGGAGCUUCUAAUUUAAUAGAGUUGUAUCUUGAUGAUUGUCCAAACUUGCUUGAAAUUCAUGAUUCAGUUGGAUGUUUAAAUAAACUUAGAGAAUUGAGUGCCAUGUGAUGCAAAAACUUGAAGAUUUUGCCUCAUGGCCUUAGUAUGGCAUCUCUUGAACAUCUUAAUCUAUUUGGAUGUUCAAGUCUACAAUACUUCCUAGAAAUAUUGGUGAAGAUGACAAAGAUGAGAACACUUGAAUUAGAUAAGACAACCAUUGUAGAUUUUCCAUCUUCAAUUUGCAAUCUCAUUAGGCUUGAAAUGUUAAACAUAGAGGAGUGCCAUCAUAUUAAACAACGUCCAGAUAGCAUUUUCAUGUUGCCAAAUCUUUCAUUACUUUGUACAAAUUUAUGUGAAGGGAUGAGAUAUUUGAAGAAAUGUGGAGAUGAAGAAGAAGCAAGUAUAGGCCACAGGAUAUUGUCUUAAAAAAUAGAAUAUUACUACUUUUCAAAUUGCAAUUUAUCAGAUGACUCUCUUGCUCUAUGCCUUUCUUACUUCCCAAAUUUGAUACAAUUAGAUCUAAGUCAUGGUAAAUUCAUAACUCUUCUUGCAUGCUUGGAAGAAUGUUACCAUAUGAAAUAUCUUGUCCUUCAUAAUUGCAAGCAACUUCAAUAUAAUUUGGGAAUGCCGCCAAACCUAGACAAAUUCAACGCCUUGCACACGGUUGACUGAGUUGUCCAAAAGUAGAGUAUUCAAUUAGGUUGUUCGCCAAGGGCAAGGCAAAAGAAACUAUGCUUUUCUAGAAAAGAAGUUCCCAAAAUUGCUUGACACAGUUAGCCACAACCCCUCUCUAUCCUUUUAGAUUCAUGAAGAGUUCCUUGUUGUGAUUCUUACAUGGAUUCUUGUUAAAGAUCUCAACUAUAACAUUGACAUUCACGUAUCCAUGUUCAUAAAUGGCACAUCUAAAGAUGUUACUGCAUUUCCUUAUCAACCGUUCUCAUUAUCAACAUUAGAGGCUAAUCAUAUGUAUGUAUAUGAUCUAUAUAGCUUUAUUGGAAAGACUGAACUCUUCGGUUCAUUUAAUCAGAAUUACUUGAAUCAUGUGUCGAUUUUCAUCAAGAACAGUACACCCAAAGUUUAAAUUGAUGGGAAAAUUUAUUUAGGAGCUAAUGUAUGUAAUGAAGAAAUCAAGUUUGAUAAUAAUAUCAUAUUCCUUAAACUAGGUAUUUAGAAUAUUCUUAUCUCUGCUUUUCCAUUUAUUCUCAGCCUUAUUAUUUAUGCUCUGCUAUGCAUGGCCGUUCUGCAUUCAAUGUUAGGAUACUCUUCCAAUAUUUGUUUUCUUAGCUUAUCUCCCUUGUAUUUUAAUUAGCACAUGAUUAGCUUGCAAAUAUUGCAAGUUGAAAUAUUUUUGGCUAUUUUGAAUUGAUGUUCAAGUAAAAUAGUAAAACAACAAAAAAUGUGACUAUUAAAUUUUUUUUUCUUUUACUCUAGCAAGGAAGAAAACCUAAUAUAUUCUCACAAAUAAUAGAAUAACAAUAACACGUGACUAUAAGCCAUAUUCCAUCCUAUUUAUAUGGGUCAACUAGUUAUAACUUAUCUAUUUAUUCAGUGAAUUUAACAUACUACACAUGUAAGUUUCAUCAAUGUAUGCUUGUAAUUUGUUCAUAUACUUACACCUUGAUUAUAAUAUUUUGAAGCUUUUUUGACAUGAUCAUAGACCUAUUGCAUCUAUCUAUUGCUAGUAGAAUGUGUACUUUUACUGUUAAAAUUAGUAGUAAUUAAUGGCUAUAAUAAUAUCAUCUUCUUUUGCACAAGGAUCGAGAUGUGAUGUAUUUUUUAGGCUUUCAUGGCAGCAAUUCCCACUCUUUCACGAACAAUUUAUGUUAUGCUUUACUUGAAAACAAUAUUAGUGCUUUCAAAGAUGUCGGGAGGUUCGGAUGGGGAGAAGAUAUUUGCCCAACCAUGAAGCAAUUGAAGAGUCAAGGAUUUCCAUUAUUAUAUUCUCUUAAUCUUAUGCUUCUUCCACAUGGAGUCUUGAUGUCCUUGCUAUGAUCAUCGAUUGUAUGAAAACAAAGGGCACAUUGGUUAUCCCAAUUUUCUACGAUGCAAAUCCUUCAGAUGUAAGACAUGAAUCAGGAAGUUUUAGAUUGGCAAAGGCUAGGCAUGAAAGCAUGGAAAAGGUGGAGAAGUGGAGGUUGGCUUUGUUUGAAGUAGCUCACAUGCGUGGUUGGCACUUAAAAAAAAGGAACUAAGGUACUUCUCCUCCAUUCGUCAAGCAUUUUCUUGGACUGCAAGACCUUAUUAAAUAACUUAGUUAGCCAUCACACCCCUUCUUCAUCUAAACAUUUUCACACUUCAAUAGGGAUACAAUUAGAUCUAUUGACUCUACCAUUUGUAAUUUUUUUAAGAGCUUCAUUUACCUUUGUUGUAAUAAAAUUCCCUUGAAAGUAGCCAUAGUGGUAUUCAUUAGUGGGUCAAGACUAUUCAAAGAGACCCAAGACACAUAUUUGAAAAGGCAUGCAUUUAGUCCAUCUUUCAAAACUCCCCGAGUCACAACAACGACCAUGAUCAAAACUACAUGAAGAGAAGUUUCCUUAGAAAAGCCAUUUGCAAACCCAAGCAUACAUUAACUAAACAUGGCCCACCAUUUAAAAGGAAAUCAAGAUUGCCAUGCAUGGAGUAACUCAUUACAGUAAGGGCUCGAUAUUGUAUUAGCUCAUCAGAGUUAAUUAGCAAAUAAUGAUGCAAAAUAGUUUUUAGUACCCCUUGGCUUUCAUCAAAAGCCAAAUAAAAAGACCAGUUGCUAAAAUAAACCGCACCAUGAAAGUGGAGGUUAGCCAUCAUCCAACAACAAUUGAAAUGUGCACUUACCAACUUUAUAAUGAAAUCUAGAACCUUAAUCAUAUAGGGCACAAUCCAAUGCAAAUAGGAACAACAAUUUCUAGCAUUCUUUCCAAGGCUCAAGCUAACUUGCAAGCUCUCAAUGCAUGUAACCUCACCAAGAACAAAAAUGAAAUUGGAAAAUUCAAACCUAAAGCAAUAAAGUUCAAGCACAACUAGAAAGAGGUCUUAGUAUCAAUAUUGAAGCAAUAGUUUCUCUGUAAACUCCUAGCAUUCAAAACUAAUCAAAUAUGCCAAUAAUCAAACACUCAUUGUGUCAUAUGGGUUCCAAAAUUUAAGGUUAAAGAGGGAUGAAUGUAACAAAGACUAAAAUAUCAAAUAAAAAGAAUUUACCAUCCCAUAAGUGCCCACCCUUCCACAACUUCAGCUGAUAAGCUAAGAUAAAGAACAUUUUCUACUAGAAUUAAAUAGACUUAGCUCUUGUUUUAAUUUCAUGGAAUGCUCCACACCUAAUUCUUCUAGGUGGUCGAAAAUUAAUUGAGGCAAGCAAGGUCAUUCUAUGGUUCAUGUGAAGGUCUUCAUUAGCAAUUCUUAGAACAAAAAUUAAUCAAUCACUGCAAAAAAAUAGUGAAUUAAUGAUGGAAUAAAUUUUCUUUGCUAAUCAGUCACAAAUCAUCACUAAUUUACUGAUGAAAUUUAGCAAUGGAACAUUCGGUCGCUAAAAAAUCAAUCACUAUUUUGUCACUAAGCCAUUAGAAAUAAUUUUACUGAUGAAAUUUAGCGACGAAAUAUUUCAUCGCUAAAAAUUCUUUCACUAUUUCUUCACUAUAUUGUCAGAAAUAAUUUUGUGAUGAAAUUUUUUGAUGGAAAAGUCCGUCGCUAAUUUUUAAGAUACGUUAUUCUCAUUUUGUGAUAGCAUUUGCAAUUGGAAAUUCUAUCACAAACCUUUCCAUCAUAAUUCUGUCACAAAUUAUUGUAAAUUUUAUUAUAUGAUUUAUGAUAUAUAUUUCUAUAUAAUUUAUUUAAUAAUUUAUUAUCAUACUAUAAAUCAAAAAUUUAAUAAUUAUAAUUUAUUAUUUUAAAUUAUUUAGAUAUUAAUAAUAAUUAUAAGAAUUUAAAUUAUAUAUUUAAUUAAUUUUUUGA
Molecule: long non-coding RNA, 6284 nt
Organism: Prosopis cineraria
Lineage: Eukaryota; Viridiplantae; Streptophyta; Magnoliopsida; Fabales; Fabaceae
Exons: 3
Source: RefSeq, a predicted model, not a curated record